This 87-nucleotide non-coding RNA is filed under the name Pseudomonas knackmussii B13. The record is from RNAcentral. Lineage: Bacteria; Pseudomonadati; Pseudomonadota; Gammaproteobacteria; Pseudomonadales; Pseudomonadaceae.
GCCCAUGGUGGGCCGUGCAGGGAGACUUUUGGGUCUGCCGGCUUUCUAUCUCACCGGUUCGCCAAUCCUGCACGGCCUGCCUCCGCU